This is a long non-coding RNA of Lolium perenne, 1043 nucleotides long. RefSeq lists it as uncharacterized. The record is from RefSeq and is a predicted model, not a curated record. NCBI's taxonomy places the organism in Eukaryota, Viridiplantae, Streptophyta, Magnoliopsida, Poales, Poaceae.
UGUAUUCCGGUGUGUAGGUCAAGUAACGCUCUGAACGUAUGUAAUUAGUUCUACAUUGGGUCUUUUAUUUUUUCCUUGCUUUAUCCCUCGACUCUGCUGCAGUAUAUUUUGUUCUAAUUUAUGGUGGCAUGAUCAGUGAAUAAUAGAUGUGCUUAAAUUAUGGUGUGGGUGAUAAGAAAAAUUUGCGAAUGUAAUAUAUUGGUACUAAUUGAAGUUUUUUUUUUGCAAGUUUAGAGAUUGGUUGGUACCUGCCUAAUGUUUACACAAAACCCAGAAUGUGUACUUUGCAUAGACUGGUACUUCAUCAUUGUAUUAAUCUGCCGGCUUUGAUUUGUUCUCUCCAUCGAAUGAAUUAAUUGUUCCACCAUCAAAAUAGGCAAUAAUGCAUGCAAAUCUCCAAAUGAAAUAAAUAAAUGUUGUGAUAGAUUCUAGCUACAGAUGUGUUCACUUCGAUAGUAAACCAACUUUUUUUUUGUUUCCAUUGCAGGGGCUAGAAAAGAACAAGCAGGUCAAGUGACUGAUUUUUGUAGACAUAUGUUCAUGGGGCUAGAAGGUUAAGCCAGGAACAACCUUAGUUGGGGCAUUACUGCAUAAAUAUGAAGACAAGAAGCCACGGGGCAGCGCGGACAUGAAUCAGCAGGGGCGGCGGUGCUCCGCUUAGAGGAGUUACAGGGGAGAGGAAGGAGGCCGGCGACAGGAGGUAAGAGCAAGCGGCCUUGGUUCAUCAUGGAGAACGACUGAUGCCCAUCCGGAUCCCCUCUACCUUCUUCUUUGAUGAGAAGCUCAUCUUGCCUGGUUGGCUGGUUCGCUUGUCUUCUCCUUUCCUGCUGCAUCCCUUGCCACUUCACUCUUCAUCCCCAAGAACUUGAUGUUGGGCUAUGACUUGUAAUGUUUGGGUUUGGGAGGCGGUAGACUAUUCCACUAGCCGUGACAACACCCAACAUUGGUGCACGGAGAUUCAGUGGUUGUUUCUGCCGUAUUAUUUAUGCCUAUGUGGAUGGUAUCAUCGUAUUGACAUGCUUUACUCUACUGACGUAUUCGUC